This is a long non-coding RNA of Poecilia latipinna (sailfin molly), 2220 nucleotides long. RefSeq lists it as uncharacterized. The transcript is spliced from 3 exons. NCBI's taxonomy places the organism in Eukaryota, Metazoa, Chordata, Actinopteri, Cyprinodontiformes, Poeciliidae. The record is from RefSeq and is a predicted model, not a curated record.
GAUGUAAAAUAAGGAUGCAAUAAUCUUGUUGCAUAAGUGUGCAAAACCCAUAAACUAAGACUUUGCUCAAGCUACUCUUAAUUAAAUUCUUCUUGAUUUCUCAUCUGCCAUCAAACACAUGUGAAUCGAAUCUAUAACAAAGAUCAUCUUUUCCAGUUAAAUUUUCAUUGUGUCCGAUUAUUUGCAUCUUUCAGCCAAAUGCCUCAAUUUCUAGAAAAGUUGCAAAUGAUAUAAAAAAAAAAAAGAUCAAAUUGUGUAAACAUAUCAGUCAGGAGCAAAGAACAAAACAAUCUCCAGGAUGUUAUGUCAUCAUAUGAAAUCAACAGAGAUGUAACUACUACUACUACUUUAUAAGAGCUCAAUGUUAUGUUUGAAACGUGGAAAAAGUCUAAACUCAUUAAAAUUCUACCCCAGUACUCGAAAAUGAAAACUGCCCCUGUCAUGUUGAUGGAUCUGUCCAUAUGCAUUAGAUAUUAUACUUGCCUAUAAAAAUUCAAGAGUAGUUUUUAACUUGUGUCAAAAUAAGUUCAUUUUAAAACCACUUUAGACUGGACCCUUUUCGAUAUGAGUGUAUAUACAUAUAAAUAGAUACACUGCGAGAUGAAACGCAUACAUGCAGUCCAACAAACUACUGCUGCUAUUGAGCUGAAACCGAUGGAAAUGAUUUCUCUCUUCAGGUCAACCUGGAGAGACGACGCUAUUUUAUGGUUCGUUGGUUCCCUGACCCAAAUAAAAAAAAUCUUUAACUUUGUGUCGACCGCAGAAGGUGCCUGACAUCCGUUUGUUUUUUGCUCUACUUCUUGCUUCUUUCUCUUUUAGUUGCUGUAGCAGGACGAGCGAGACGAGAAUUGCUCAAACGUCUGAUCUGAGGAGUCUGUGCUUCUCUUUCCACUUUCUUCAGUGUAAUACUCUAAGAUUAACCCAACUCAAAUGAACUAUUGUGUGCUAAAAUGAAAAAAAUAUAUAUUUAUUUAAACAGAUUUUAUGUCUCACUUUAUUCACCGUGAGAGGCAAAACAAUAAUAAUACUCUACUGAUAAAGUCAGAAAGAUUGGUACAUUUUUAUUUUCUUUUUACAUUUAAUGCUUCUUUCCAGUAAAUCAUAACUUUUAUUAGAUAUGCUAUUGUUUUUUUUUAUUUUUUUUUUUAGGUUGAACAGUGUAAAGGUCCUUAAACUUUGAGAAGAUUUCGAAGCUUUUCCAUACCUAAUUUUCUCUUUAUAUACUCCCUAAAACAUACAGUCUGAAAAAUGUACAACACCCAUUAAAUAUUCAGUUCUUUAACAAAAACAAAAAAAAAACCUUCAUAUAUAGACGUCUUGACUUUCUCAACCUCGUUUUUGAAGCCUGGGGAAUCAGGACUUUCCAUUUUUUCUUAAUUCUCAGCAAGUCUAUGGUGGACUUACUGGUAGGUUUUACAUCAUUGUUUUGUGGGGUGGGGGGUCCAGUUAUCCUUCAGCUUCAUUUUUGUAAUUGAUAGUUUUCUCAAGCAUCCUCUGGUGUAUGAUGGACUGAUGAUGUCUUAUAAAACAUCUCCAAACCAUUUCCUCGACGUAUGAAGUUCCCUUCUUUUAAUGCUCUUUAAAGCUUAUGAGGAAAAUCUCCUUUGCUCUGUAAUCUGGAUAACUAAAGACUAGACUCAUCUGUCAAAAUAUUUUUUUUUUUCCACAAGUGCUGCUGGUGCUUCAACAUUUUCACCAAUCCGUCGCAUGGGAACCGAAAUGCGCGUGGUGCACUUUCGCCCUCUGGUGGCCUAACUUGACAUUUCACCCAAAAUGUUUUCUAGUCCACAGGUCAGCUAAUCUGCAGCUGAUGUGACAGUGGCAGGCCUUCAUCAGUCUCUGCUGUGACCUGAAGCUGACAUGAAACACUGAUCUGAUUGUUCAGUGUGAUGUUAUAUUUCUAACUACUACAAACCUACCAUCUUAUGUUAUCUCCUGCAAAAGUUUUCCUGACACACUUUCUCCAGCUGAAAGUGUGUCAGUCUUGAGAGACCAGAAAGUCACACAAACACACACAAGGUAAUGUGGUAAUGUAUUUUUUAUUAUUUUAGAAAAAUAGUUUUUUAUAUAUAUAUAAAAACAAAUAAGUUAUGAAUUCCAGCAGCUGCUUUAAGUUUCCUUUGUAAUGACAUCUCUCCACAUCAACAUUCUCUGUCGCUAUCAUUCUCACACACACACACACACACUUUCUUGCUUGACACAGACACACUCCCACACACA